RNAcentral lists this ribosomal RNA (399 nucleotides) under uncultured bacterium. Its description in RNAcentral is "bacterial SSU rRNA". It matches the Rfam family "Bacterial small subunit ribosomal RNA", at positions 32 to 409 of the family's 1533-position model. The record is from RNAcentral.
AAUCAACGCUGGCGGCGUGCCUCAGACAUGCAAGUCGAACGCGAAAGGUUCCUUCGGGGACCGAGUAGAGUGGCGCACGGGUGAGUAACACGUAGGUAAUUUGCCUUUGGGUGGGGAAUAACUCAGGGAAACUUGAGCUAAUACCGCAUAAUGCAGCGGCUCGACAUCGAGACAGUUGUUAAAGCGGGGGAUUCGCAAGAACCUCGCGCCUAAAGAGAAGCCUGCGGCAGAUAGCUAGUUGGUAAGGUAAUGGCUUACCAAGGCGACGAUCUGUAACCGGCCUGAGAGGGCGGUCGGUCACACUGACACUGACAUACGGGUCAGACUCCUACGGGAGGCAGCAGUCGGGAAUUUUGGGCAAUGGGCGAAAGCCUGACCCAGUAACGCCGCGUGAAGGAU